RNAcentral lists this long non-coding RNA (460 nucleotides) under Salmo salar (Atlantic salmon). RNAcentral's name for it is "lncRNA (ENSSSAG00000096181.1)". The record is from RNAcentral. Lineage: Eukaryota; Metazoa; Chordata; Actinopteri; Salmoniformes; Salmonidae.
AGAGAGAGAGAGACCAUCUGGGUAGGGGCUGAGUGUGGAUAGAGAGACCAUCUGGGUAGGGGCUGAGUGGUUAGAGAGAGAGAGACCAUCUGGGUAGGGGCUGAGUGGUUAGAGAGAGAGACCAUCUGGGUAGGGGCUGAGUGGUUAGAGAGAGAGAGACCAUCUGGGUAGGGGCUGAGUGGUUAGAGAGAGAGAGAGAGACCAUCUGGGUAGGGGCUGAGUGGUUAGAGAGAGAGACCAUCUGGGUAGGGGCUGAGUGGUUAGAGAGAGAGACCAUCUGGGUAGGGGCUGAGUGGUUAGAGAGAGAGAGACCAUCUGGGUAGGGGCUGAGUGGUUAGAGAGAGAGAGAGACCAUCUGGGUAGGGGCUGAGUGGUUAGAGAGAGAGAGACCAUCUGGGUAGGGGCUGAGUGGUUAGAGAUGAUAGGAUAGUAGAGGAGAGAGUAGUGAGAGAGAGAGAGA